GACGAACGCUGGCGGCGUGCCUAAUACAUGCAGGUAGAACGCUGAAGAGAGGAGCUUGCUCUUCUUGGAUGAGUUGCGAACGGGUGAGUAACGCGUAGGUAACCUGCCUUGUAGCGGGGGAUAACUAUUGGAAACGAUAGCUAAUACCGCAUAACAAUGGAUGACACAUGUCAUUUAUUUGAAAGGGGCAAUUGCUCCACUACAAGAUGGACCUGCGUUGUAUUAGCUAGUAGGUGAGGCAAUGGCUCACCUAGGCGACGAUACAUAGCCGACCUGAGAGGGUGAUCGGCCACACUGGGACUGAGACACGGCCCAGACUCCUACGGGAGGCAGCAGUAGGGAAUCUUCGGCAAUGGGGGCAACCCUGACCGAGCAACGCCGCGUGAGUGAAGAAGGUUUUCGGAUCGUAAAGCUCUGUUGUAAGUCAAGAACGGGUGUGAGAGUGGAAAGUUCACACUGUGACGGUAGCUUACCAGAAAGGGACGGCUAACUACGUG
RNAcentral lists this ribosomal RNA (497 nucleotides) under uncultured bacterium. RNAcentral's name for it is "partial 16S ribosomal RNA". It matches the Rfam family "Bacterial small subunit ribosomal RNA", at positions 28 to 507 of the family's 1533-position model. The record is from RNAcentral.